GAACGCUGGCGGCGUGCCUAACACAUGCAAGUCGAACGAAGCAUCGCGCCCGACAAAGUGGAGUGCUUGCACAAAGCGGAGUCAAUUGUGAUGACUUAGUGGCGGACGGGUGAGUAACGCGUGGGUAACCUGCCUUAUACAGGGGGAUAACAGUUAGAAAUGACUGCUAAUACCGCAUAAGCGCACAGUAUCGCAUGGUACAGUGUGAAAAGCCGAGACGGUAUAAGAUGGACCCGCGUCUGAUUAGCCAGUUGGCAGGGUAACGGCCUACCAAAGCGACGAUCAGUAGCCGGCCUGAGAGGGUGAACGGCCACAUUGGGACUGAGACACGGCCCAAACUCCUACGGGAGGCAGCAGUGGGGGAUAUUGCACAAUGGGGGAAACCCUGAUGCAGCGAACCGCCGCGUGAGCGAUGAAGUAUUUCGGUAUGUAAAGCUCUAUCAGCAGGGAAGAAAAUGACGGUACCUGACUAAGAAGCUCCGGCUAAAUACGUGCCAGCCGCUGC
RNAcentral lists this ribosomal RNA (505 nucleotides) under uncultured bacterium. RNAcentral's name for it is "bacterial SSU rRNA". It matches the Rfam family "Bacterial small subunit ribosomal RNA", at positions 31 to 518 of the family's 1533-position model. The record is from RNAcentral.